CCUUGAUGUAUGAUGCUAGGAUACCUACUAUCCCAAAUUUUUCCCAUAUGCUGCUUUUUAGUAAGGCAUCAGGAAAAAGAGAGACUAUUCACAAAAGUCAACACAGGUCUACUGGAAGCAUUAGGGUGUUACGUACCAUUUGAUGCACAUGCCCAAGUAAGGGAAGAACAUGGAAUUUCCAACCGCUGCCAUCUUUAACACAAAGAUGACAGCAAAGGGACAGAAAAUCAGCACAAAAUUGAAAGUGGUAAGCUGGACUGGUUACAGAGCCAUAAACGUUUGCGGGGGCUAUAGAGAGGCAUCCCUGGGUUGGGCACCAAAUUAGUGACAGAAUUGCUUUAACGUGGCUGGACAUUGUCUUGAUGGUGCAAUUUCUGGCACUCUACCUAAAAAGCAGAUGGGAUGUUAUGAAAAUUAAAAGAACCCUAGCACUGCUGUGUGAGUGUACAGUGACACUGAAGGAACGACCGAGUGCCAACAUGCUUAUACAGCAAUUCUCUAUAGAGGUGUGAAU
Molecule: non-coding RNA, 514 nt
Organism: Pelobates cultripes (western spadefoot toad)
Lineage: Eukaryota; Metazoa; Chordata; Amphibia; Anura; Pelobatidae
Source: the annotation of a GenBank genome assembly